GUAGUCCACGCCCUAAACGAUGUCAACUAGGUGUUGGAAGGGUUAAACCUUUUAGUGCCGUAGCUAACGCGUGAAGUUGACCGCCUGGGGAGUACGGCCGCAAGGCUAAAACUCAAAGGAAUUGACGGGGACCCGCACAAGCGGUGGAUGAUGUGGAUUAAUUCGAUGCAACGCGAAAAACCUUACCUACCCUUGACAUGUCAGGAAUCCCGGAGAGAUUUGGGAGUGCUCGAAAGAGAACCUGAACACAGGUGCUGCAUGGCUGUCGUCAGCUCGUGUCGUGAGAUGUUGGGUUAAGUCCCGCAACGAGCGCAACCCUUGUCAUUAAUUGCCAUCAUUCAGUUGGGCACUUUAAUGAGACUGCCGGUGACAAACCGGA
RNAcentral lists this ribosomal RNA (379 nucleotides) under uncultured bacterium. Its description in RNAcentral is "bacterial SSU rRNA". It matches the Rfam family "Bacterial small subunit ribosomal RNA", at positions 790 to 1167 of the family's 1533-position model. The record is from RNAcentral.